GACGAGCGCUGGCGGCGUGCUUAACACAUGCAAGUCGAGCGGUAAGGCCCUUUCGGGGGUACGACGAGCGGCGAACGGGUGAGUAACACGUGGGUGACCUGCCCUUAGCUCUGGGAUAAGCCUGGGAAACUGGGUCUAAUACCGGAUAUGACUCCAUGACGCAUGUUGUGGGGUGGAAAGCCUUGUGCGGCUAGGGAUGGGCCCGCGGCCUAUCAGCUUGUUGGUGGGGUGANGGCCUACCAAGGCGACGACGGGUAGCCGGCCUGAGAGGGCGACCGGCCACACUGGGACUGAGACACGGCCCAGACUCCUACGGGAGGCAGCAGUGGGGAAUCUUGCGCAAUGGGCGAAAGCCUGACGCAGCGACGCCGCGUGAGGGAUGACGGCCUCGGUUGUAA
This 398-nucleotide ribosomal RNA is filed under the name uncultured bacterium. RNAcentral's name for it is "bacterial SSU rRNA". It matches the Rfam family "Bacterial small subunit ribosomal RNA", at positions 28 to 428 of the family's 1533-position model. The record is from RNAcentral.